GGGUAAACAUGCGAAACUCGAAUGAACGAACGGAGAGAUUCAUCGUCAUUCCUCGGCGUACGGGCUGCGCGCUUCGAUGUCGUCGGCCUUGGUCGUCGUGCACGACGCGCGUCCGUCGACGUCCGAGGACGGCGUGCACUUCUCUCUUAGUAAAUACAUCGCGACCCGUUCGAUGUCGGUCUAAGCGCCGCUCGGGAGUCCCAUGGUCCCCCCUUAAAAGGGGUCUAUGGGACCGAGACGGUGGCCGACCGGCCGUCGGACGGUAGUACUGACGAAACGCGCACGCGUUUAUAACGCGUCCGGCCCGACGCAAGUCAACGUCGUAUCCAACGUACCGCCUUAGCGCGGACGUAGGUGCGGCGCGUCUGUUGUUGCAGCCGUGCAGUCUCGGACUGUGCGCGUCUCUGUCUGCGAUGAUUCAGUUUCGGGCACUCGCAGGACCCGUCUUGAAACACGGACCAAGGAGUCUAGCAUGUAUGCGAGUCAUUGAGACAAUAAAACUGAAAGGCGCAACGAAAGUGAAGGCGCGCGCUUGCCGCGCGCUCAGGGAGGAUGGAGCGUCGAUCUAGGUCGAUCUCUCGCACUCCCGAGGCGUCUCGUUUCCAAUCCGUGAAUGUAGGCGCGCUCUGAGCAUAAAUGCUGGGACCCGAAAGAUG
This 656-nucleotide ribosomal RNA is filed under the name Carales arizonensis. RNAcentral's name for it is "eukaryotic LSU rRNA". It matches the Rfam family "Eukaryotic large subunit ribosomal RNA", at positions 413 to 825 of the family's 3401-position model. The record is from RNAcentral. Lineage: Eukaryota; Metazoa; Arthropoda; Insecta; Lepidoptera; Erebidae.